GAUGAAGAACGUAGCGAAAUGCGAUACUUGGUGUGAAUUGCAGAAUCCCGUGAACCAUCGAGUCUUUGAACGCAAGUUGCGCCCGAAGCCAUUAGGCCGAGGGCACGCCUGCCUGGGCGUCACACGUCGUUGCCCCCCCAUCUACUCCUUCGGGAUUGCGGGGGGCGGAUGAUGGCCUCCCGUGCGCCUCGUCGCGCGGUUGGCAUAAAUGCCAAGUCCUCGGCGACGCACGCCACGACAAUCGGGGGUUGCGAAACCUCGGUUGCCCGUCGUGUGCGGUCGUCGCGCAUCGAGGGCUCGAAAAAAUUGCCGGGCUCCGGCUCGGCUUUCAACGCGACCCCAGGUCAGGCGGGGUUACCCGCUGAAUUUAAGCAUAUCAAUAAGCGGAGGA
This 391-nucleotide unclassified non-coding RNA is filed under the name soil metagenome. RNAcentral describes it as "partial contains 5.8S ribosomal RNA, internal transcribed spacer 2, and large subunit ribosomal RNA". The stretch from base 1 to 122 matches the Rfam family "5.8S ribosomal RNA", at positions 35 to 154 of the family's 154-position model. The record is from RNAcentral.